AGAGUUUGAUCCUGGCUCAGGAUGAACGCUGGCGGUCUGCUUAACACAUGCAAGUCGAACGGGCUCUUCGGAGCUAGUGGCGGACGGGUGAGUAACGCGUGAGAAUCUGCCUUCAGGUCUGGGACAACAGAAGGAAACUUCUGCUAAUCCCGGAUGAGCCCUAGGGUAAAAGAUAAAUUGCCUGGAGAUGAGCUCGCGUCUGAUUAACUAGUUGGUGUGAUAAAAGCAUACCAAGGCGACGAUCAGUAGCUGGUCUGAGAGGAUGAGCAGCCACACUGGGACUGAGACACGGCCCAGACUCCUACGGGAGGCAACAGUGGGGAAUUUUCCGCAAUGGGCGAAAGCCUGACGGAGCAAGACCGCGUGGGGGAGGAAAGCUCUAGGGUUGUAAACCCCUUUUCUUUGGGAAGAAGUACUGACGGUACCAAAGGAAUCAGCCUCGGCUAACUCCGUGCCAGCAGCCGCGGUAAUACGGAGGAGGCAAGCGUUAUCCGGAAUGAUUGGGCGUAAAGCGUCGCAGGUGGCCAUGUAAGUCUGCUGUCAAAACCCAGGCUUAACUCUGGUCAGGCAGUGGAAACUACAAAACUAGAGUUCGGUAGGGGCAAAGGGAAUUCCCGGUGUAGCGGUGAAAUGCGUAAUAUCGGGAAGACAUCGGUGGCGAAGCGCUUUGCUUGACCAAACUGACCUUAGGGACAAAACUAGGGGAGCGAAUGGGAUAAAUACCCCAUAUCCUAGCCUAACAAGGAUCUAGGGUUGCUGUUUCGACCAGCAUGCCCACUUACCCUUAAUUUCCCCUGGGAUCCCCCCAGUGUGAACUAAGGAUUGACGGGCCCCCAACCG
Molecule: ribosomal RNA, 840 nt
Filed under: uncultured Trichodesmium sp.
Lineage: Bacteria; Bacillati; Cyanobacteriota; Cyanophyceae; Oscillatoriales; Microcoleaceae
Description: bacterial SSU rRNA
Rfam family: Bacterial small subunit ribosomal RNA
Source: RNAcentral